RNAcentral lists this unclassified non-coding RNA (204 nucleotides) under uncultured Agaricus. Its description in RNAcentral is "sequence contains ITS2". The record is from RNAcentral. Lineage: Eukaryota; Fungi; Basidiomycota; Agaricomycetes; Agaricales; Agaricaceae.
AAUUCUCAACUCCACUAUACUUUGUUAUAGAGGGGCUUGGACUGUGGGGGUUUGCUGGCCGCUUUUUGAGGUCAGCUCCUCUGAAAUACAUUAGCGGAACCGUUUGCGAUCUGCCACAAGUGUGAUAAUUAUCUACACUGGCGAGGGGAUUGCUCUCUGUGAUGUUCAGCUUCUAAUCGUCUCAUCAGAGACAAUUUAUUGAAU